GGUUCCAUAGUGUAAUGCUUAGCACGUCUGCUUUACACACAGAAGGUCCUGGGUUUGCCCCCCAGUGGAGCCA
This 73-nucleotide transfer RNA is filed under the name Pteropus alecto (black flying fox). It matches the Rfam family "tRNA". Rfam says of the family: Transfer RNA (tRNA) molecules are approximately 80 nucleotides in length. Their secondary structure includes four short double-helical elements and three loops (D, anti-codon, and T loops). Lineage: Eukaryota; Metazoa; Chordata; Mammalia; Chiroptera; Pteropodidae. The record is from Rfam by way of RNAcentral.